GGAAAAAUUGUUGUUCCAAGUCGACCAAACCAGGGCCAGAGCCAAAAAUCCAAGGGGGCAGGAGCGGGACAUGUGGUGCCUUCUCCAGUGGCACAGACGACCUUCAAGUGGAGGAUCGAUGGCUUCUCAUCGCUUCUUGAUAAGGAUGGAGGAUGGACCUACUCCACGGUGUUUGAGAUCAUGGGACAUAACUGGUACUUGAAACUGAAUCCUAGGGACAGAAAGAGCGGUGGUAAAAAUGAGUAUGUUUCUCUUAGGCUUGAGCUGGCCCGAAGAUCCGUGAAAUCUGAUUCAGUGGUGGAGGCAUCAUUCAAGUUCUUGAUAUAUGACCAGUCAUAUGGAAAGCACCAUGAAAAUCAAGUGACCCACAGUUUCCAAAAUGCAUGGACAAGCUCUGGGACCUCAUGCAUGAUUCCCCUCAGCACACUGAAGAAACAUUCCUCUGGAUUCGUCGUCAACAAUAGCUAUGUUUUUGGUGUCGAGUUCAUAAAAGUUGUCACCUCCAAAGCUAAUGAUAUGUCAGAGAUUUUGUUUGUCCAGAAGAUGAACACCACCUUCAGUGAUCCCGAGGUCUACACCCGGGACAUUGAAGACUUCUUUGCAUUGAAGAGCCUGGACAAGUCUCCAGAGUUUGAAAUUGGUGGACACAAAUGCUCUAUCAUUAUGUAUCCAUCUGGAUCCGGUAGCAACGGGAACUACCUAUCAUUGUACCUGAACAUGAAGAUGCCACAUACCCCACAUCAGAACUCGGCAAUCCUGGUAGAACUAAGCAUGCACAUCAAGGACCAGGAAACUGGCAAUCACAAUAAAAUAACAUGCCGGUGUCAGUUCUCAAAAAAUUCUGCCAAAUGGGGAUGGGACAAAUUCAUAUCGCUGGAAGAUUUCAAGGACUAUUCAAAUGGUUACCUCGUGAAAAAAAAGUGUUGCAUUAAAGUUGAAGUUGGAAUCAUUGGGUCCUCCAAGAUGGAGUAG
This 972-nucleotide ribosomal RNA is filed under the name Triticum aestivum (bread wheat). RNAcentral describes it as "partial small subunit ribosomal RNA". Lineage: Eukaryota; Viridiplantae; Streptophyta; Magnoliopsida; Poales; Poaceae. The record is from RNAcentral.